CCUACGGGUGGCAGCAGUGGGGAAUAUUGCACAAUGGGGGAAACCCUGAUGCAGCGACGCCGCGUGAGUGAAGAAGUAUUUCGGUACGUAAAGCUCUAUCAGCAGGGAAGAAAAUGACGGUACCUGACUAAGAAGCCCCGGCUAACUACGUGCCAGCAGCCGCGGUAAUACGUAGGGGGCAAGCGUUAUACGGAUUUACUGGGUGUAAAGGGAGCGUAGACGGCAGCGCAAGUCUGGAGGGAAAUCCCAUGGCUUAACCAUGGAACUGCUUUGGAAACUGUGCAGCUAGAGUGCAGGAGAGGUAAGCGGAAUUCCUAGUGUAGCGGUGAAAUGCGUAGAUAUUAGGAGGAACACCAGUGGCGAAGGCGGCUUACUGGACUGUAACUGACGUUGAGGCUCGAAAGCGUGGGGAGCAAACAGGAUUAGAUACCCUAGUAGUC
RNAcentral lists this ribosomal RNA (440 nucleotides) under uncultured bacterium. RNAcentral describes it as "partial 16S ribosomal RNA". It matches the Rfam family "Bacterial small subunit ribosomal RNA", at positions 338 to 795 of the family's 1533-position model. The record is from RNAcentral.